Molecule: ribosomal RNA, 460 nt
Filed under: uncultured bacterium
Lineage: Bacteria
Description: partial 16S ribosomal RNA
Rfam family: Bacterial small subunit ribosomal RNA
Source: RNAcentral
CCUACGGGAGGCAGCAGUGAGGAAUAUUGGUCAAUGGACGGAAGUCUGAACCAGCCAUGCCGCGUGCAGGAAGACGGCUCUAUGAGUUGUAAACUGCUUUUGUACAAGGGUAAACCUGAAUACGUGUAUUCCACUGAAAGUACUGUACGAAUAAGGAUCGGCUAACUCCGUGCCAGCAGCCGCGGUAAUACGGAGGAUCCAAGCGUUAUCCGGAUUUAUUGGGGUUAAAGGGUGCGUAGGCGGAUUGAUAAGUUAGAGGUGAAAUGUCCGGGCUUAACUCGGGAACUGCCUCUAAUACUGUAUCUCUAGAGUGUGGAUGAGGUAGGCGGAAUGUAUGGUGUAGCGGUGAAAUGCAUAGAGAUCAUACAGAACACCGAUUGCGAAGGCAGCUUACCAAUCCAUAUCUGACGUUGAGGCACGAAAGCGUGGGGAGCAAACAGGAUUAGAUACCCGGGUAGUC